RNAcentral lists this ribosomal RNA (228 nucleotides) under uncultured eukaryote. RNAcentral describes it as "partial 18S ribosomal RNA". It matches the Rfam family "Eukaryotic small subunit ribosomal RNA", at positions 1208 to 1456 of the family's 1831-position model. The record is from RNAcentral.
GGAAAUCUCACCAGGCCCGGACACUGGAAGGAUUGACAGAUUGAUAGCUCUUUCUUGAUUCAGUGGGUGGUGGUGCAUGGCUGUUCUUAGUUGGUUGAGUGAUUUGUCUUGUUAAUUCCGAUAACGAACGAGACCUUAACCUGCUAAAUAGUGACGCGGUUCAUCGAACCGUGGGCCACUUCUUAGAGGGACUAUCGGAUUCAAACCGAUGGAAGUGUGAGGCAAUAA